This 513-nucleotide ribosomal RNA is filed under the name Conchopus pacificus. Its description in RNAcentral is "partial 16S ribosomal RNA". It matches the Rfam family "Bacterial large subunit ribosomal RNA", at positions 1816 to 2596 of the family's 2925-position model. The record is from RNAcentral. Lineage: Eukaryota; Metazoa; Arthropoda; Insecta; Diptera; Dolichopodidae.
CAUGUCCUUUUGAAUUAAAUUUAAGGUCUAAUCUGCCCACUGAUUUAUUGAAUGGCCGCAGUAUCUUAACUGUGCAAAGGUAGCAUAAUCAUUAGUCUUUUAAUUGAGGGCUGGAAUGAAUGAUUGGACGAGAUAUUGACUGUCUCAUAAAAAUAAAUUAGAAUUUUAUUUUUUAGUUAAAAAGCUAAAAUUUUUUUAAAAGACGAGAAGACCCUAUAGAUCUUUAUAAUUUUUAUAUUAUUUUUAAAUAAGAAAUUUUUUAAGAUAAUAUUAUUUAAUUAUUUUGUUGGGGUGACAUUGAAAUUUUAUAAACUUUUAAAAAAUUUAUAUACAUUAAUUUAUGGUUAAAUGAUCCUUUAUUAUUGAUUAAAAAUUUAAGUUACCUUAGGGAUAACAGCGUAAUUAUUUUGGAGAGUUCAUAUCGAUAAAAUAGUUUGCGACCUCGAUGUUGGAUUAAGAUUAAUUUUGGGGGUAGAAUUUCAAAAUAUUAAGUCUGUUCGACUUUUAAUUUCU